CAUCGAUUGAUGGUUUAGUGAGGCCUUCUGACUGGCGCCGCUACUCUGGCAACAGAGCGGCGGAUGCCGGGAAGUUGGUCAAACUUGAUCAUUUAGAGGAAGUAAAAGUCGUAACAAGGUUUCCGUAGGUGAACCUGCGGAAGGAUCAUUACCGAUGUGAAAAAUCCAAGGUUAAACAUCAUUAACCAGUGUGAACUGUGAAACAACUCUUUAGGGGUCGGCACAGGCGUGUGUCGUUAAAUGGCGGAUAGGUUCCUUCCGCCAGCCCCGCCAUUGUGUUUAUGAUAUCACUUUGAACGUUAAAGACUGAGAACGUAUGUAUCAUGCAUUAAAUGUAUGAGAAAGAAGGAAAGAAAAAUGAGAGACAACUUUUGACGGUGGAUCUCUUGGCUCACGUAUCGAUGAAGAACGCAGCCAGCUGCGAUAUGUAGUGUGAAUUGCAGAAUUCAGUGAAUCAUUGAAUCUUUGAACGCAAAUGGCGCUCUUGGGUUCUCCCAGGAGCAUGUCUGUCUGAGUGUCGGAUUUUAUCGAACGCACUCGUGAGUGCGGUAUUGAGGUGUCACGGCGUGUUAGCAAGCAUGACAUCACUCUGUCCCUUGAAGGACAGCAGCAUUGGACUCGCAUUCUCUAUUGAAACUUGAGUGCGAAGGCUAAAGAUAAUAUUUUCUUUCCCCCAAACAUGCAUUA
RNAcentral lists this ribosomal RNA (687 nucleotides) under Porites lutea. Its description in RNAcentral is "eukaryotic LSU rRNA". The stretch from base 367 to 520 matches the Rfam family "5.8S ribosomal RNA". The record is from RNAcentral. Lineage: Eukaryota; Metazoa; Cnidaria; Anthozoa; Scleractinia; Poritidae.